GGGUCCGUAGCUCAGCCUGGAUACUUUUGCCAGAAAGAGCACCGGCCCUCUAAGCCGGUGGUCGUGGGUUCGAAUCCCUCCGGGCCCGCCA
Molecule: transfer RNA, 91 nt
Filed under: Candidatus Bathyarchaeota archaeon RBG_13_38_9
Lineage: Archaea; Thermoproteati; Candidatus Bathyarchaeota
Description: tRNA-Arg
Rfam family: tRNA
About the family: Transfer RNA (tRNA) molecules are approximately 80 nucleotides in length. Their secondary structure includes four short double-helical elements and three loops (D, anti-codon, and T loops). Further hydrogen bonds mediate the characteristic L-shaped molecular structure. tRNAs have two regions of fundamental functional importance: the anti-codon, which is responsible for specific mRNA codon recognition, and the 3' end, to which the tRNAs corresponding amino acid is attached (by aminoacyl-tRNA synthetases). tRNAs cope with the degeneracy of the genetic code in two manners: having more than one tRNA (with a specific anti-codon) for a particular amino acid; and 'wobble' base-pairing, i.e. permitting non-standard base-pairing at the 3rd anti-codon position.
Source: RNAcentral